RNAcentral lists this ribosomal RNA (459 nucleotides) under uncultured bacterium. Its description in RNAcentral is "partial 16S ribosomal RNA". It matches the Rfam family "Bacterial small subunit ribosomal RNA", at positions 338 to 795 of the family's 1533-position model. The record is from RNAcentral.
CCUACGGGAGGCUGCAGUGAGGAAUAUUGGUCAAUGGGCUUACGCCUGAACCAGCCAAGUCGCGUGAGGGAAGACUGCCCUAUGGGUUGUAAACCUCUUUUGUCAGGGAACAAAGGCGGGGACUAGUCCCCGGAUGAGGGUACCUGAAGAAAAAGCAUCGGCUAACUCCGUGCCAGCAGCCGCGGUAAUACGGAGGAUGCGAGCGUUAUCCGGAUUUAUUGGGUUUAAAGGGUGCGCAGGCGGCCUGUUAAGUCAGCGGUAAAAGCCCGGGGCUCAACCCCGGCGAGCCGUUGAAACUGGCGGGCUGGAGUUGGAGAGAAGUACGCGGAAUGCGCGGUGUAGCGGUGAAAUGCUUAGAUAUCGCGCAGAACCCCGAUUGCGAAGGCAGCGUACCGGCUCCACACUGACGCUGAGGCACGAAAGCGUGGGUAUCGAACAGGAUUAGAUACCCCUGUAGUC